UUAAAUUGAAGAGUUUGAUCAUGGCUCAGAUUGAACGCUGGCGGCAGGCCUAACACAUGCAAGUCGAACGGUAACAGGAAGCAGCUUGCUGCUUUGCUGACGAGUGGCGGACGGGUGAGUAAUGUCUGGGAAACUGCCUGAUGGAGGGGGAUAACUACUGGAAACGGUAGCUAAUACCGCAUAACGUCGCAAGACCAAAGAGGGGGACCUUAGGGCCUCUUGCCAUCGGAUGUGCCCAGAUGGGAUUAGCUAGUAGGUGGGGUAAUGGCUCACCUAGGCGACGAUCCCUAGCUGGUCUGAGAGGAUGACCAGCCACACUGGAACUGAGACACGGUCCAGACUCCUACGGGAGGC
RNAcentral lists this ribosomal RNA (354 nucleotides) under Escherichia coli. RNAcentral describes it as "bacterial SSU rRNA". It matches the Rfam family "Bacterial small subunit ribosomal RNA", at positions 1 to 349 of the family's 1533-position model. The record is from RNAcentral. Lineage: Bacteria; Pseudomonadati; Pseudomonadota; Gammaproteobacteria; Enterobacterales; Enterobacteriaceae.